GAUAGGGGGAAGGGGCUAGGGGUUGAUUUGGGUCACUGAGGUAAGGUGGGGAGGGGGAGUUUGCUGGACAGUUUUCUAGCUGUUGUCUUGGUAGUGCAGGAGAAGCUCUAACCGAGGGGAUGAAUCAGCAUUAAUGGAUCCACAAGGUGUUCUGUUCUGGAACCUUCUGGGGUUUUACACUGGCCGUGUCCCAAAUUUGUCUUACGUACUACUUACUAAAACGGCAUACUGUGUACUAAUCAUAAUACAUUCUAUUUAGCAGUGAUGCGGUCGAGUCACUAAACUUCAAGUCCGAGUCGAGGCCCAAGUCAAUGGUUCUAUAUCAGGUUAUUUACCCAGUCAGAUGUAGAGGAGGUUAUUUACCCAGUCAGAUAUAGAGGAGGUUAUUUACCCAGUCAGAUAUAGAGGGGUUAUUUACCCAGUCAGAUACAGAGGAGGUUAUUUACCCAGUCAGAUACAGAGGAGGUUAUUUACCCAGUCAGAUAUAGAGGAGGUUAUUUACCCAGUCAGAUAUAGAGGAGUUAUUUACCCAGUCAGAUAUAGAGGAGGUUAUUUACCCAGUCAGAUAUAGAGGAGGUUAUUUACCCAGUCAGAUAUAGAGGAGGUUAUUUACCCAGUCAGAUAUAGAGGAGGUUAUUUACCCAGUCAGAUAUAGAGGAGGUUAUUUACCCAGUCAGAUAUAGAGGAGUUAUUUACCCAGUCAGAUAUAGAGGAGUUAUUUACCCAGUCAGAUAUAGUUAUUUACCCAGUCAGAUAUAGAGUAGUUAUUUACCCAGUCAGAUGUAGAGGAGUUAUUUACCCAGUCAGAUAUAGAGGAGUUAUUUACCCAGUCAGAUAUAGAGGAGGUUAUUUACCCAGUCAGAUAUAGAGGAGUUAUUUACCCAGUCAGAUAUAGAGGAGUUAUUUACCCAGUCAGAUAUAGUUAUUUACCCAGUCAGAUAUAGAGGAGUUAUUUACCCAGUCAGAUGUAGAGUAGUUAUUUACCCAGUCAGAUAUAGAGGGGUUAUUUACCCAGUCAGAUAUAGAGGAGUUAUUUACCCAGUCAGAUGUAGAGUAGUUAUUUACCCAGUCAGAUGUAGAGGAGGUUAUUUACCCAGUCAGAUGUAGAGGAGUUAUUUACCCAGUCAGAUAUAGAGGGGUUAUUUACCCAGUCAGAUAUAGUUAUUUACCCAGUCAGAUAUAGAGGAGUUAUUUACCCAGUCAGAUAUAGAGGGGUUAUUUACCCAGUCAGAUAUAGUUAUUUACCCAGUCAGAUGUAGAGGAGUUAUUUACCCAGUCAGAUGUAGAGGAGGUUAUUUACCCAGUCAGAUAUAGAGGGGUUAUUUACCCAGUCAGAUAUAGUUAUUUACCCAGUCAGAUGUAGAGGAGUUAUUUACCCAGUCAGAUGUAGAGGAGGUUAUUUACCCAGUCAGAUAUAGAGGAGGUUAUUUACCCAGUCAGAUGUAGAGGAGGUUAUUUACCCAGUCAGAUAUAGUUAUUUACCCAGUCAGAUAUAGAGGAGUUAUUUACCCAGUCAGAUGUAGAGGAGGUUAUUUACCCAGUCAGAUGUAGAGGAGUUAUUUACCCAGUCAGAUGUAGUGGAGUUAUUUACCCAGUCAGAUAUAGAGGAGUUAUUUACCCAGUCAGAUAUAGUUAUUUACCCAGUCAGAUGUAGAGGAGGUUAUUUACCCAGUCAGAUGUAGAGGAGUUAUUUACCCAGUCAGAUGUAGUGGAGUUAUUUACCCAGUCAGAUAUAGAGGAGUUAUUUACCCAGUCAGAUGUAGAGGAGUUAUUUACCCAGUCAGAUGUAGAGGAGUUAUUUACCCAGUCAGAUAUAGAGGAGGUUAUUUACCCAGUCAGAUAUAGAGGAGUUAUUUACCCAGUCAGAUAUAGAGGAGUUAUUUACCCAGUCAGAUGUAGAGGAGGUUAUUUACCCAGUCAGAUGUAGAGGAGGUUAUUUACCCAGUCAGAUAUAGAGGGGUUAUUUACCCAGUCAGAUGUAGAGGAGGUUAUUUACAGAUGUAGAGGAGUUAUUUACCCAGUCAGAUAUAGAGGAGGUUAUUUACCCAGUCAGAUAUAGAGGAGGUUAUUUACCCAGUCAGAUGUAGAGGAGGUUAUUUACAGAUGUAGAGGAGUUAUUUACCCAGUCAGAUAUAGAGGAGGUUAUUUACCCAGUCAGAUAUAGAGGAGUUAUUUACCCAGUCAGAUAUAGAGGAGUUAUUUACCCAGUCAGAUAUAGAGGAGGUUAUUUACCCAGUCAGAUAUAGAGGAGUUAUUUACCCAGUCAGAUAUAGAGGAGUUAUUUACCCAGUCAGAUAUAGAGGAGUUAUUUACCCAGUCAGAUGUAGAGGAGUUAUUUACCCAGUCAGAUAUAGUGGAGUUAUUUACCCAGUCUGAGUUAUUUACCCAGUCAGAUAUAGAGGGGUUAUUUAGAAUUCAUUUUUUGUUUUUAAGUACACAGACUAUAUACAAAAAUUUUUUUUCUUAAGAAAUGCCUUCUGUUUAGAACACAAUUACAGGUAUUGGGACACGGCCAAUCAAUGGAGGCAGCACUAGUGGUAGAGUGGAGGGGCGGCAGGUAGCCUCGUGGUUAGAGUGGAGGGGCGGCAGGUAGCCUCGUGGUUAGAGUGGAGGGGCGGCAGAUAGCCUAGUGGUUAGAGCGUUGGGCCAGUAACCGGAAGGUUGCUGGAUCGAAUCCCCGAGCUGACAAGGUAAAAAUCUGUCUUUCUGCCUCCUGAACAAGACGGUUAACUCUCUGUUCCCCGGUAGGCCGUCAUUGUAAAUAAGAAUUUGUUCUUAACUGACUUGCCUAGUUAAAUAAAGGUUUAAAAAAUGUUUUAUAAAAAAGGACAACACACACCUCAGUUCAGCAGCACAGUAACUCCUAAUCUCUCCACCAGGGGGCAGGCUUGAUUCAGUUCUCAAUUCGACUUUCCAUUUAGUAAUUUAUUGAUGUCAGACUUCUACUUCAGUGGAAGUUCAGAUUGAUCUUGUACUAAAUUGAAAACUCCUUUUCAUAAAACAUUGGACAAAUUCAA
Salvelinus fontinalis (brook trout) is the source of this 3017-nucleotide long non-coding RNA. RefSeq lists it as uncharacterized. The transcript has 3 exons. The record is from RefSeq and is a predicted model, not a curated record. NCBI's taxonomy places the organism in Eukaryota, Metazoa, Chordata, Actinopteri, Salmoniformes, Salmonidae.